CCGGCUCACGUUGAACGCUAGCUACAGGCUUAACACAUGCAAGUCGAGGGGCAGCAUGGUCUUAGCUUGCUAAGGCCGAUGGCGACCGGCGCACGGGUGAGUAACACGUAUCCAACCUGCCGUCUACUCUUGGACAGCCUUCUGAAAGGAAGAUUAAUACAAGAUGGCAUCAUGAGUCCGCAUGUUCACAUGAUUAAAGGUAUUCCGGUAGACGAUGGGGAUGCGUUCCAUUAGAUAGUAGGCGGGGUAACGGCCCACCUAGUCUUCGAUGGAUAGGGGUUCUGAGAGGAAGGUCCCUCACAUUGGAACUGAGACACGGUCCAAACUCCUACGGGAGGCAGCAGUGAGGAAUAUUGGUCAAUGGGCGAGAGCCUGAACCAGCCAAGUAGCGUGAAGGAUGACUGCCCUAUGGGUUGUAAACUUCUUUUAUAAAGGAAUAAAGUCGGGUAUGGAUACCCGUUUGCAUGUACUUUAUGAAUAAGGAUCGGCUAACUCCGUGCCAGCAGCCGCGGUAAUACGGAGGAUCCGAGCGUUAUCCGGAUUUAUUGGGUUUAAAGGGAGCGUAGAUGGAUGUUUAAGUCAGUUGUGAAAGUUUGCGGCUCAACCGUAAAAUUGCAGUUGAUACUGGAUAUCUUGAGUGCAGUUGAGGCAGGCGGAAUUCGUGGUGUAGCGGUGAAAUGCUUAGAUAUCACGAAGAACUCCGAUUGCGAAGGCAGCCUGCUAAGCUGCAACUGACAUUGAGGCUCGAAAGUGUGGGUAUCAAACAGGAUUAGAUACCCUGGUAGUCCACACGGUAAACGAUGAAUACUCGCUGUUUGCGAUAUACAGCAAGCGGCCAAGCGAAAGCGUUAAGUAUUCCACCUGGGGAGUACGCCGGCAACGGUGAAACUCAAAGGAAUUGACGGGGGCCCGCACAAGCGGAGGAACAUGUGGUUUAAUUCGAUGAUACGCGAGGAACCUUACCCGGGCUUAAAUUGCAGAUGAAUUACGGUGAAAGCCGUAAGCCGCAAGGCAUCUGUGAAGGUGCUGCAUGGUUGUCGUCAGCUCGUGCCGUGAGGUGUCGGCUUAAGUGCCAUAACGAGCGCAACCCUUGUUGUCAGUUACUAACAGGUUCCGCUGAGGACUCUGACAAGACUGCCAUCGUAAGAUGUGAGGAAGGUGGGGAUGACGUCAAAUCAGCACGGCCCUUACGUCCGGGGCUACACACGUGUUACAAUGGGGGGUACAGAGGGCCGCUACCACGCGAGUGGAUGCCAAUCCCCAAAACCUCUCUCAGUUCGGACUGGAGUCUGCAACCCGACUCCACGAAGCUGGAUUCGCUAGUAAUCGCGCAUCAGCCACGGCGCGGUGAAUACGUUCCCGGGCCUUGUACACACCGCC
This 1380-nucleotide ribosomal RNA is filed under the name uncultured bacterium. RNAcentral's name for it is "bacterial SSU rRNA". It matches the Rfam family "Bacterial small subunit ribosomal RNA", at positions 19 to 1394 of the family's 1533-position model. The record is from RNAcentral.